CGUGCAGCAGGGAGAGGAAAGCUCUGAGCUGUCUGGGAGAGAGGAUCGAAAUGCACAGCCCAGAGGAACCGAAGCCUCUGUUUUAACCCAAGAAGCACGGACGUGUGACCUGGCGGUUACAGCCCACUCGGGGGAAUCACAGCGACAGAGAAAGUCCGAUUUCCUAUGGGUACCGCGCCCUACAGGUCUUGAUGAUUUUCAACUUUUGUGCCACUUCCACAAGGUGAUGAGGAUGUCUUCUUUCAUGCAGGAAUCGUCGGGAUAGACCAGGUCUCGCCUCUGUCUCAAGGACACAGACAAACAGCUGAGGACUGAGUCUUUGUUCCCCAAGCAGGCGUGUCUGAGAGACCCGGUGCAGUCUACCAUGGCGUAGGGCCAGUGUUGUGUCGUCUACCACAGCGACCGGCCAGUCCUACCACGACAUCUUAUAGUCACAGCACUUUUCAGAACUGGAGAGGGACAGCAGUGCAGAAGAAGAAAUUUAAAAAUGGGGUCACAAAACAUGACUUGAGCUAAAGCAUUGCCCCUUUGUGAUUUUUAGCUCACAGAUUUGGGGAUGUGGAGAAAAUGAAGCUUCGAUAACGUUAUUUGUGCUAUUUGCCCAGGAAUAAUGUAAAUGGUGUGUUGGAGGCAGACACAGAGACACUCCCAGGCAGUAAGUGUUUGCAUUUUCUAAGGACUGAAGAGAUUUCUGAUCCUCCUUAGGGAGAGUCUGAGGGAGAAAUGGACAUACUCAUAUGCAAGGAGAAGGAAGAUAAGAUGGAAACAAAGCAUCCAUUUGUAGUGGGAAUAAAAAGGGAGAAUCAGUGCUGUGGUCCCCCAGUGCUGGCACUGGCUGCCACAGAGGUACCCAGAGCUGGGUGAAGGUGAGCUCUGGGUCUGAGGGUGAGGGUGGCAUUUACAAGUAGGAGGAAAUGUGUCCUGUGACUCCAGAGUGCUGGAAAGGGAGAGAGAACCACUGGCCAGAGACUAUUUCAGCUUUGCAGGGUGGAAUGUGGACUGUUUAGGACCAGACUGAAGCAAUCCCAAAUGCCAGAAAAACUACAUCAUUAAAACGAAUUACGGAAUUAGGAGAGUCCAAACCAUUUCCGGAACCUCUUGAUUCCCGCCCAGUGCUUUGCCUGUGAGAGAUGCUGCACUCUUGGCUCUGAAUGCAGUGAGCAUGAUUUCCCUGAUCUCUACCCAAAACUUCUGUGAGUGAUCGCCUCAGAAUCCCCCUUUACCACCUGAAUGCAAUGUGAUAGUUACUGAAACCACCUGGAAUCCUUCUUGAUAAAAAGCACAGUACAAAAUGUUCUAUUACAUAUAUAAA
Long non-coding RNA from Cavia porcellus (domestic guinea pig), 1312 nucleotides. RefSeq lists it as uncharacterized. The transcript is spliced from 2 exons. The record is from RefSeq and is a predicted model, not a curated record. NCBI's taxonomy places the organism in Eukaryota, Metazoa, Chordata, Mammalia, Rodentia, Caviidae.